This 502-nucleotide ribosomal RNA is filed under the name bacterium AV-Te-20. RNAcentral's name for it is "bacterial SSU rRNA". It matches the Rfam family "Bacterial small subunit ribosomal RNA", at positions 257 to 750 of the family's 1533-position model. The record is from RNAcentral.
UAAUAGGCUCACCAAGACGACGAUCCCUAGCUGGUUUGAGAGGAUGAUCAGCCACACUGGGACUGAGACACGGCCCAGACUCCUACGGGAGGCAGCAGUGGGGAAUAUUGCACAAUGGGCGCAAGCCUGAUGCAGCCAUGCCGCGUGUGUGAAGAAGGCCUUCGGGUUGUAAAGCACUUUCAGUCAGGAGGAAAGGUUAGUAGUUAAUACCUGCUAGCUGUGACGUUACUGACAGAAGAAGCACCGGCUAACUCCGUGCCAGCAGCCGCGGUAAUACGGAGGGUGCGAGCGUUAAUCGGAAUUACUGGGCGUAAAGCGUACGCAGGCGGUUUGUUAAGCGAGAUGUGAAAGCCCCGGGCUCAACCUGGGAACUGCAUUUCGAACUGGCAAACUAGAGUGUGAUAGAGGGUGGUAGAAUUUCAGGUGUAGCGGUGAAAUGUCGUUNAGAUCUGAAGGAAUACCGAUGGCGAAGGCAGCCACCUGGGUCAACACUGACGCUCAG